Molecule: ribosomal RNA, 472 nt
Filed under: uncultured bacterium
Lineage: Bacteria
Description: bacterial SSU rRNA
Rfam family: Bacterial small subunit ribosomal RNA
Source: RNAcentral
UGGGGAAUUGUUCGCAAUGGGCGAAAGCCUGACGCAGUAACGCCGCGUGGAGGAUGAAGGCCUUCGGGUUGUAAACUCCUGUCAGGAGGAACGACGGGAGUAGAAUAAAUAGUUCUAUUCCCAGACGGUACCUCCAAAGGAAGCCCCGGCUAACUCUGUGCCAGCAGCCGCGGUAAUACAGAGGGGGCAAGCGUUGUUCGGAAUUACUGGGCGUAAAGGGCGCGUAGGCGGCCCUCUAAGUCGAACGUGAAAUCCCUGGGCUCAACCCAGGAACUGCGUCCGAGACUGGGGGGCUAGAAUCCGGGAGAGGGAUGUGGAAUUCCAGGUGUAGCGGUGAAAUGCGUAGAGAUCUGGAGGAACACCGAUGGCGAAGGCAGCCCCCUGGGCUAACACUGACGCUCAUGCACGAAAGCGUGGGGAGCAAACAGGAUUAGAUACCCACGUAGUCCCUGAGCGGGCUGGCAAGGCGCAU